This 587-nucleotide ribosomal RNA is filed under the name Salmonella enterica subsp. enterica serovar Newport. RNAcentral describes it as "partial 23S ribosomal RNA". It matches the Rfam family "Bacterial large subunit ribosomal RNA", at positions 711 to 1295 of the family's 2925-position model. Lineage: Bacteria; Pseudomonadati; Pseudomonadota; Gammaproteobacteria; Enterobacterales; Enterobacteriaceae. RNAcentral also lists the same sequence under 2 other names. The record is from RNAcentral.
AGACCCGAAACCCGGUGAUCUAGCCAUGGGCAGGUUGAAGGUUGGGUAACACUAACUGGAGGACCGAACCGACUAAUGUUGAAAAAUUAGCGGAUGACCUGUGGCUGGGGGUGAAAGGCCAAUCAAACCGGGAGAUAGCUGGUUCUCCCCGAAAGCUAUUUAGGUAGCGCCUCGUGAAUUCAUCUCCGGGGGUAGAGCACUGUUUCGGCUAGGGGGCCAUCCCGGCUUACCAACCCGAUGCAAACUGCGAAUACCGGAGAAUGUUAUCACGGGAGACACACGGCGGGUGCUAACGUCCGUCGUGAAGAGGGAAACAACCCAGACCGCCAGCUAAGGUCCCAAAGUCAUGGUUAAGUGGGAAACGAUGUGGGAAGGCCCAGACAGCCAGGAUGUUGGCUUAGAAGCAGCCAUCAUUUAAAGAAAGCGUAAUAGCUCACUGGUCGAGUCGGCCUGCGCGGAAGAUGUAACGGGGCUAAACCAUGCACCGAAGCUGCGGCAGCGACACUGUGUGUUGUUGGGUAGGGGAGCGUUCUGUAAGCCUGUGAAGGUGUGUCGUGAGGCAUGCUGGAGGUAUCAGAAGUGCGAAU